This 294-nucleotide long non-coding RNA is filed under the name Elaeis guineensis (African oil palm). RNAcentral describes it as "long non-coding RNA (EGUI_LNC012799)". The record is from RNAcentral. Lineage: Eukaryota; Viridiplantae; Streptophyta; Magnoliopsida; Arecales; Arecaceae.
AUCCAAACCGGACCAUGCUCACCCCUAGUCUUAGUAUAAAAUAUAAUAUCCCAUUUACGUAUAUAUGAUUUAAGCAAAUAAAGAUGUCUACGAAUAAAGACAUCAUGGAUACUGAUUCAUGUCCAUAUUCACUUGGAGAAAAUAUUGAUAUUUCAACAUCAUACAUACAUACAUACAUACAUACGUAUAUGUGUUAAUAUCUAAUUAAUAUAAGUGAUGCUAUAUAAUAUGUUAAAUAAAAAAUACUACAAAGAUGAGAACCUUGGGCACCCAACAUUACCUCUUCUCUCGGCU